GGGCACUCCCCUCCCCCUUUUUCCCCGUCUUUGGGGUCUUUGGGGCCGCUUUUUCAUAAGCACCUUGAGGAACUCGAAUUGUGAGACUGAGCCUGGGGCUUGUGUUGCCUUUAGAGGUGAUGCAGCCCGAGUCGAAAACCAAAGUAACGACUCUCAGCAACGGAUAUCUUGGCUCUUGCAACGAUGAAGAACGCAGCGAAAUGCGAUACCUAGUGUGAAUUGCAGAAUUCCGCGAAUCAUCGAGUCUUUGAACGCAAGUUGCGCCCGAGGCUUGUCCCGAGGGCAUGCCUGCCUGAGCGUCACCGCACUCCCACCUAGACACUCUCUAGUGUGGAAUUGGCCGUCCGGGAUCCGGCAUGAAGCUUUGGGUCGCGGUGGGCUGAAAUGUAGCUAUCUGGACGCAGCCAAAGGGAGUGGCCGCGAGAAGGUGAUCUGCUCUUUUUGGGGCGGAGUCUAAUUGGACAGCGCCUCUUGCUUUGGUGGUCCGGACAGCGGCACGGAAUGUGUCCCUGGGGAAUGCAAGUAAUGUUGCAGCUCCCCUCCCUUACAG
This 550-nucleotide ribosomal RNA is filed under the name Plagiochila sp. NSW880570. RNAcentral describes it as "eukaryotic LSU rRNA". The stretch from base 149 to 302 matches the Rfam family "5.8S ribosomal RNA". The record is from RNAcentral. Lineage: Eukaryota; Viridiplantae; Streptophyta; Jungermanniopsida; Jungermanniales; Plagiochilaceae.